UUUUUUUUUUUUUUUUUUUUUUUUUUAUGUCGCCACGCUGAGGAUAGCGUUCAUGGCUGAUAUGGACUACCGUUAAUAAAAAAAAAAAACAGCAUAAAUCCUCCUCUAGAGCACGGGCAAAAUAAGGUCUGCAAGAUAAAAACGCCGACGCAAAGAGGAAGAGUCCCGAGCGGAAGGAGAAGGAGAGCGAUGAAGCCCACACCGAUGUCGUAUUUGUACGAGCAGGUGAACGCGAUGGAGGAGGGAGGGGGCCUGGCGGUGGGGAUGGAGGUGGACGACGGCGACCCCGUCGACGUCCUCGGCGAGCUCGAGCGUCCCCCCCUCGACGCCGACUUCUUCAACUCCUUUGAGGACGACUUCGACGACUCCGACGUCUGACCGCAGUGCCGACAAAUGCUUGAUGGGGAAAGCUCUUUGCAAGGAGGACUCUUAAUUAUAUAUAUUGCUGGAAACUUAUUUAUGUCUGGGUUUCUUGUCAUUAUUUUCUGCCAAAUGUUGGAAUCACUGAAACCCUGGAACCACCUUUUGCAUGGUUGUUGGACUUCAAAGGGUUUGAACCUGUGAAAGCUUAAUAGUUUGGUUUCAGCUCUGGCUUUGAGUUUAAAGCUUGCUUCUGCUUGUACUUGUGCUGAUGAAUUUGAAGUGAAUAUAAACCUUGGUUCAACCAUCUAAUUUGGGUUACAUCUUCAAGCAUAGGCAGCAGCAGACAUGCUACUGAAAUACUUAUUUCUGAAGUCAUUACUUUCUAUGUUCCUGCUAAUAAUGUACAAGGGGCUGGAAGGACAUUCAACUUUGUUUGAUUAAUUUAUGGAGGGUGUCUGCCUGAAUUCUCUAGUUGAUCAUGAAAUGACAUUAUUAUUGCACAAAAAUCUCUAGAAAAUUUUAGGAGGCAGAGAAGUGUGUGUGUAGAUACAUACAUACAUACAUAAAGAAGUGUUGGGUUGGGUACAUACAUACAUACACAAAGAGGUGUUGGGUUGGGUUAGAAAUAUAUGUUAGGAUUAUCAAUACCAGGUAAGCUGUGCAAGGCAGAAAUGAAUCAAACAAAUUUAAAUCUUCGUAGGUUAUUGACAAAGUUAGUCCAGCAUUCAUAAAUCUUUUAAUAAGUAGAAAGAGAAAGUACCCCUGCUUUUGAAUAUUGGACUUAUAAUGAAGAUUGUGUAAAUAUUGUAGAACUAGCUCAACACACACACAAACACACAUGCAAAUGUAAGGUUUCUUGUGCUAUGGAAGCAGUAUUAUGAUUUUUCACUUCUUUAAGUCAUAGCCUUAUGUAAAACUCCUUGGGCCACGAACCUGAAAUCCCUCAUUGAAAAGAUGCAAAGCUAUGAUGGAGAUAGCUUGACAUCAAGAGUAGAUGGCAAACAAGUAUUGAUAAAGAAGAUAAUCUGUAUUCAGGGAAUGUGCACUGCCUUCCAGAUGUUAGAAAAUCUAUACAGCCUUAUUACUCCUAGUAAAUGAGUCCCAUUAUUCAUUCAUCUUUUACUGCUAUACACUUAUAUCCGUUGCUAUGUAUUAAAUAUGACAAGUGAAGGCAUUGUUCUCUAUCAAGAGUUGCUUCCAUGCUGUGAAAAUACUAUUCAGAUUUUACAAUUGGAUUCUGGAGGCGAUUGGAUUAUUAGUGUGAUAUUCAAACUGUGCCAGGCGUUGAAAUUUGCAACAUAGUAUGGCAUGUAGGAAGCGAUACAUGUAGGAAGCGAUACAUGUUACAUGACCGGGUAGCUGGAAUUGGUUUAGAGCUUGUGACUUAUUUCAUGCUAUACUUGUCUAAGAGCAAUUCAGUAGGCAGGGAUAGCAUCAGAAUUGGUUAUGUUGUUUUGUGCAUUUUUUUCAUGGAUGUUUUUACUUUAUGUGCAUAUCUUCGUAGUAAUCUGGCUCGAAAUUUGAGCAGUCAGCAAGUUCAUCUAUAAAUUGUCGUAAAGCAUGUAUUUGGAUUGGGAUUGCUGGUGCGAGGAGCUGCCAUGAACUUAAAGAGUUACCCAGAAAACUUUAAAAAUCCAGGCUGCGAUUCUUGCUGCUACUCUGAAAGUGGUGUCAUCACACUACUCCCAAAUCAUACCACUUUAUCACCUUAGAGGAUGAAGCAGUCACAUUAUCAUGCUUGCAAUUAAGGUAUAGCUCUGUAUCAUGUCAUGCUCCACACACACAAAUGAAACUCUGAUUUGAUGUUGAUUCCUUGA
Phoenix dactylifera (date palm) is the source of this 2180-nucleotide long non-coding RNA. RefSeq lists it as uncharacterized. NCBI's taxonomy places the organism in Eukaryota, Viridiplantae, Streptophyta, Magnoliopsida, Arecales, Arecaceae. The record is from RefSeq and is a predicted model, not a curated record.